AUGGAAGUUGGACAUAUCAAUAGAAAAUCUAACAAAUAUGUGUAUGGUUUUUAAAGAUAUUUUUAAAAGUUUUUUGGGAAAGAUUGCAGAAUUUUUAUCUCUGGUUAUCCUAGUUAAUGAUGCUUAAUGUAUUCUUGUUAUCAUCGUACAUUUGUUCAUUAUGCAUGUUUAAUAUGUUAUUUCUAUGUGAUGCAUAACUCAUACC
This 205-nucleotide long non-coding RNA is filed under the name Mytilus galloprovincialis (Mediterranean mussel). The record is from RNAcentral. Lineage: Eukaryota; Metazoa; Mollusca; Bivalvia; Mytilida; Mytilidae.